This 532-nucleotide unclassified non-coding RNA is filed under the name Bombus terrestris (buff-tailed bumblebee). RNAcentral's name for it is "misc RNA ENSBTSG00005026382.1". Lineage: Eukaryota; Metazoa; Arthropoda; Insecta; Hymenoptera; Apidae. The record is from RNAcentral.
CAGCACCAUGAAGGGACGCUGUCUGUUUAUGCACCCAGAAAGACGAAACGCGCGACUUACGAACGCGGGACCGACAUUCCCUAUAAUUUAUAACAGUGGGUUUCGCAAUAAGAGCAGUCAGAAAUGACCACCCAGUGGCAGGGUAAAGGAUGUUCAGUCAUAACAUCUGAUGAAGCGAAACAUUAACGAGGCGAUAUAUCAGCCGGCUCUUAUAGACGUAGCGUGGGCGGUAUCUUGGACAUCACCCAGAAGAACGAGCACGAAAUGAAAUGUGAAAGAAGUAAUUUCUCGGGACUGCCAUGUCUGUUCAUCGAAGUGUCGGAUCAACGAUAAAAAUCCACAUUUCGAUGAUUACAGCUUCUUGGACUGAAAGGUGGCGUAAUGAAAUAAAUAAUGAAGUAACGCAACAACUUUACCCAAUCCAUCGUUAUGAUGUUAUCUACACUUUUCCACGUAGCUCGUAAAAGUUCGUUGACUGAAAUCUUUGACAAGCGAUGUUUAAAUCCAUAUGUAUAUGUCUAAAAAUCACUGU